Long non-coding RNA from Dama dama (fallow deer), 1938 nucleotides. RefSeq lists it as uncharacterized. The record is from RefSeq and is a predicted model, not a curated record. The transcript is spliced from 3 exons. Lineage: Eukaryota; Metazoa; Chordata; Mammalia; Artiodactyla; Cervidae.
UCUCCUCUGGGCUUGCAGAAGUGAGACCCAAGCCAAAUUAUGAAAUCUUGCAAGGUCUUUGGGUCUUAGCCUUCCCAUGCCCUUCGAUACUUUUCUUCCAGUUGGAAAAUUAUGCAGGCAUAUUACAUAGACACAAAACUUGGAAAAUACAGGAAAAUGGGAAAACAAAGCCCAAUGAAAGCAUCUAGAGGUACUCUACUAAUGUUGUGAGGCCCCAAAAUCACUGCAGAUGGUGACUGUAGCCAUGAAAUUAAAAGAUGCUUGCUCCUUGGGAGAAAAGUUGUGGCCAACCCAGACAGCAUAUUGUAAAGCAGAAACAUUACUUUGCCAACAAAGGUCCGUCUAGUCAAGGCUAUGGUUUUUCUAGUGGUCAAGUAUGGAUGUGAGAGUUGGACCGUAAAGAAGGCUGAGCACUGAAGAAUUGAUGCUUUUGAACUGUGGUGUUGGAGAAGACUCUUUAGAGUCCCUUGACAGCAAGGAGAUCCAACCAGUCCAUCCUAAAGGAGAUCAGUCCUGGGUGUUCAUUGGCAGGACUGAUGCUGAAGCUGAAACUCCAAUACUUUGGCCACCUCAUGCAAAAAACUGAUUCAUUGGAAAAGACCCUGAUGCUGGGAAAGAUUGAGGGCAGGAGGAGAAGGGGACGACAGAGGAUUAGAUGGUGGGAUGGCAUAACUGACUUGAUGGACAUGAGUUUGAGCAAGCUCUGGGAGUUGGUGAUGAACAGGGAGGCAUGGUGUGCUGCAGUCCAUGGGGUUGCAGAGUUGGACAUGACUGAGUGACUGAACUGAAUAAAUAUCACCAACAAAGUCAUGCUGGUAUCAUUCUCAUACUUGUAACAACAGUGUAAGGAGCAAAGAACAAAAAUCCUGUGUGAAACCAUGACCCAUUUGAACCAGGACACCUCUGUUCUUUGGCCACAGGACACAGUCGUGUCAUUUGCUCUUUGUCUUGGUGGCAUCCCCUCCUCUUCCCCACUUACUUCUCCUUCCAGAUGGGCCUCCUGGCUUGCUCCUAGGAACUCCACAACCUUUGGAGAAUAAUGUAGUAAUAUCAAGUCCCACUCCCCAAAUUCAGUUCUAGAUUACUUUUGCUUAUUUAAGAGCCUACAGGGUCUGAGCAGAGACAUUAUUUUGCCAACAAAGGUCCAUCUAGUCAAGGCUAUGGUUUUUCCACUGGUCAUGUAUGGAUGUGAGAGUUGGACUAUAAAGAAAGCUGAGCGCUGAAGAAUUGAUGCUUUUGAACUGUGGUCCUGGAGAAGACUUUUGAGAGUUCCUUGACAGCAAGGAGAUAAAACCAGUCCAUCCUAAAGGCAAUUAACCCUGAAUGUUCCUUGGAAGGACUGAUGCUGAAACUGAAGCUCCAGUACUUUGGCCACCUGAUGCAAAGAGCUGACUCAUUUGAAAAGACCCUGAUGCUGGGAAAGAUUGAAGGUAGGAGGAGAAGGGGACAACUGAGGAUGAGAUGGUUGGAUGGCAUCAUCAACUUGAUGGACAUGGGUUUGGGUCGACUCUGGGAGUUGGUGAUGGACAGGGAGGCCUGGUGAGCUGUGGUUCAUGGGGUUGCAAAGAGUUGGACACGACUGAGUGACUGAACUGAACUGAACAGGGUCUGAGUAACCCUGGGAUGGUGUUUUUGUUCCCAAGAUAAAUUAUACCUCUAAUACAGUCUGCUUUUCUGAGAUAGUCCUCAUGGUUGUAUACAGUACGCUCCUCCUACAUUACACCCAGUGCUCUUCACAUUUGAGGAUGACAUUAGUAUUCAUCAAACCCUGCUUUUUUUUCUUCUUACUUUCAUUCUGGUUUUCUUUGGAGCUGGUUUGCAAUAAAUCCAGUUCUGUUACUAUAUAGCCAUGCUUCACCAUGAACUCCAAACAUAGACCAUGAUUUUGCUGCAUGUGGUUGCCUUAAGUCUCUAGACACCCAAAACACCCAGGAACAA